UGUGUGCGUCGAUCUCUUCAAGAGAAUAGCAGGGCCGAAAUGUGUGUGUGUGCGUUGGGAGUGUGUGUAGAG
Etheostoma cragini (Arkansas darter) is the source of this 72-nucleotide long non-coding RNA. RefSeq lists it as uncharacterized. The record is from RefSeq and is a predicted model, not a curated record. Lineage: Eukaryota; Metazoa; Chordata; Actinopteri; Perciformes; Percidae. The transcript has 3 exons.